UUCGGCAGGGACGAUAAUGACGUACCUGAAGAAGAAGCUGCGGCUAAUUAAGUGCCAGCANCCGCGUUAAUACGUAGGCAGCGAGCGUUNUUCGGAGUUACUGGGCGUAAAGAGUGCGUAGGCGUUUUNUAAGUUUGGUGUGAAUCUCCCGGNUCAACCGGGAGGGUGCGCCGAAGACUGGAAGGCUAGAGUGUGGGAGAGGUAAGCGGAAUUCCUGGUGUAGCGGUGAAAUGCGUAGAUAUCAGGAGGAACACUUGCGGUGUAGACGGCUUACUGGACCAUAACUGACGCUGAGGCACGAAAGCGUGGUUANCAAACAGGAUUAGAUACCCUGUUANUCCACCCCUUAAACGAUGCAUACUUGGUGUGGUAUUCAUUUNUC
Molecule: ribosomal RNA, 382 nt
Filed under: uncultured bacterium #0319-6A9
Lineage: Bacteria; Pseudomonadati; Acidobacteriota
Description: bacterial SSU rRNA
Rfam family: Bacterial small subunit ribosomal RNA
Source: RNAcentral